RNAcentral lists this ribosomal RNA (449 nucleotides) under uncultured bacterium. Its description in RNAcentral is "partial 16S ribosomal RNA". It matches the Rfam family "Bacterial small subunit ribosomal RNA", at positions 29 to 523 of the family's 1533-position model. The record is from RNAcentral.
AACGAACGCUGGCGGCAGGCCUAAAACAUGCAAGUCGAACGAUCUAGCAAUAGAUAGUGGCGCACGGGUGAGUAACACGUGGGAAUAUCCCUUUCACUACGGAACAACGUCGGGAAACUGACGCUAAUACCGUAUAAUGUCUCCGGACCAAAGAUUUAUCGGUGAAAGAUUAGCCAGCGUCUGAUUAGCUAGUUGGUGAGGUAACGGCUCACCAAGGCAACGAUCAGUAGCUGGUCUGAGAGGAUGAUCAGCCACACUGGAACUGAGACACGGUCCAGACUCCUACGGGAGGCAGCAGUUAGGAAUAUUGGACAAUGGGGGCAACCCUGAUCCAGCCAUGCCGCGUGUGUGACGAAGGCCUUAGGGUUGUAAAGCACUUUCGUCUACGAAGAUAAUGACAGUAGUAGAAGAAGAAGCUCCGGCUAAAUUCGUGCCAGCAGCCGCCGCGG